UUUAGGGCCCGCAUUGUAAUUUGUAGAGGAUGCUUCAGGUGCGGCGCUGGUCUAAGUUCUUUGGAACAAGACGUCAUAGAGGGUGAGAAUCCCGUAUGUGACUAGCUGCCUGUGCCUGUGUGAAGCUCCUUCGACGAGUCGAGUUGUUUGGGAAUGCAGCUCAAAAUGGGUGGUGUACUUCAUCUAAAGCUAAAUAUUGGCCAGAGACCGAUAGCGCACAAGUAGAGUGAUCGAAAGAUGAAAAGCACUUUGGAAAGAGAGUUAAACAGUACGUGAAAUUGUUGAAAGGGAAGCGCUUGCAAUCAGACUUGCGCGGCGUCGAUCAACCUGGGUUCUCCCUGGUGCACUCGGCGCUGCUCAGGCCAGCAUCAGUUUCAGCGGUUGGAUAAAGGCCUAGGGAACGUGGGUUACUUCGGUGACUGUUAUAGCCCUAGGUGCAAUGCAGCCUGCUGGGACUGAGGACCGCGCUUCGGCUAGGAUGCUGGCGUAAUGGUUGUAAGCGACCCGUCUUGAAACACGGACCAAGGAGUGUAAUAUUUAUGCGAGUUUUUGGGUGUUAAACCCAUAAGCGUAAUGAAAGUGAACGGAGGUGAGAACCCUUCAGGGUGCAUCAUCGACCGAUCCUGAAGUCUUCGGAUGGAUUUGAGUAAGAGCAUAACUAUUGCGACCCGAAAGAUGAUGAUCUAUACUUGAAUAGGGUGAAGCCAGAGGAAACUCUGGUGGAGGCUCGCAGCGGUUCUGACGUGCAAAUCGAUCGUCAAAUUUGAGUAUAGGGGCGAAAGACUAAUCGAA
RNAcentral lists this ribosomal RNA (792 nucleotides) under Spathularia sp. L. P. Tang 252. RNAcentral describes it as "eukaryotic LSU rRNA". It matches the Rfam family "Eukaryotic large subunit ribosomal RNA", at positions 130 to 939 of the family's 3401-position model. Lineage: Eukaryota; Fungi; Ascomycota; Leotiomycetes; Rhytismatales; Cudoniaceae. The record is from RNAcentral.